RNAcentral lists this unclassified non-coding RNA (251 nucleotides) under uncultured fungus. RNAcentral's name for it is "sequence contains ITS1, 5.8S rRNA gene". The stretch from base 203 to 251 matches the Rfam family "5.8S ribosomal RNA", at positions 1 to 49 of the family's 154-position model. Lineage: Eukaryota; Fungi. The record is from RNAcentral.
UCUCCGUUGGUGAACCAGCGGAGGUAUCAUUACCGAGUUUCCAAACUCCCAAACCCUUUGUGAACCUUACCUAUCGUUGCUUCGGCGGGAUCGCCCCGGGCCGCCCCUUCACGGGGGCCUCCGGAACCAGGCGCCCGCCGGAGAACCCAAACUCUUGCUGUACCUCAGUGGAACAUCCGAGUUAAAACAAAAAACAAGUUAAAACUUUCAACAACGGAUCUCUUGGUUCUGGCAUCGAUGAAGAACGCAGC